GGGGGAAUACAAGUUGAUCACAAUGAUAAUUGUUUAAUUGUUUGUUACAAACAUCAUUCAAAAUGUAACUUAUGUUAUUUAUAAGUUGUCAAAACAUUUCAAAACUCUUUUAAAUUUAUGUUACUUUAUAGUUAUACAAAAGUCUAUUUUUAAGAUACAAGCAUAACUUACUAGGUAAACGAGUCUUUUCAAUAAUAGUCCAAUUAGAACAUUAGUAAACUAUAAUAGGUAUAGUUUAGGAGAAUGCUAUUCAUUACUUCUAGUACAAUGAAGCACACAAAGAGUUAAUACCAUAACAUAACAUACAGUGAAGAGAACACACACAAGAUCUAAUUAUACCAAUGAAUCACUAACUCAUUGUUUUAAACAAAAGGUGAUAGUUAUAUUGGGUAUACAUGAUCAUAUAACAUUAAUGUGAAUUACACGACUUGCAAGAAUUUUUAGGGGUCGCGUUUGGUUCCCUUAAUCUCUAGACAGGGAGAGCGUUUAGUAGGGGUUCUGGACUUCACAUUAUGACCGUAAUAAAACAAAUAUGUUUUUAGAUUAUUAGUACAUUCGCAUGUCAUUAUAAACGACAUCUGUGUGCUUACUUUUCCCAUUACAUUCAUAAAGUGAUAGUACCACUUGAAAGUCGAAGUAUUUUCUAGUCAAGAUAGUUAUAAACUAGGGAAAAUAUACUUUUACAAUCGACAAUCAGAUCAGUCGAGUCUAGCACAUAUCAGAAGAUACCAUGGUAGAAGGCUACGAUUAAAAGUUAUGACCAUAAUGCUAGUCUUAUGAUUCCUUAAUGUAGACAUCAGCGGAUACAUAUAUCAAUAGGUUCCGACAGCUAAUAGGAUGCAUGCUCUCCUCCUCAUUUCCUGUUCCUUGUUGGGUUGUGGGCUUGGAACGGAUUCACCCAAUUUAUUAUCUACUCGAUUCUAUAUACAUGUAUGCUUAGUAUACAUUAAGUCAUCAUAAGUGUACCAGGUAUGGGUCAGGUUAUAGGACACAAAGUCAAAGCACAGUUUUUCUAGCACAAAACAUACUUUCCAAAAUCAGUACUUUGGGAAUACAAAACUAGGAACUUCCCAGUAAAGGGUUUAAUCCAUUUGGUUUAGCCAGUACAAUUUUAAGGACCUUAGGUGACUAACUCUAUAAUACCUUAGUUUAUACACCAUGUUCACAUAUAAAACCAAUACCCAAUAGGUAGUUGGAUGUGUGUUUUUCCGCCUUACUUCCUAUUCCACGUUGGGUUGUGGGCUUAGGGCAGAUUCACUCAAUUAACUUUCUAUCUGAUAUUGGAUUAUAUAUAAACUAAGUUAUUAUAAAAGUAGUCACUAUGGUCACCAUUUUACUAUACGAAAUAUAGGUUUUCUUAAAGAACUUUUCAUUAAAUAUAAAGGAACUAUUACAAUUAACUCCAUGAGUAACAAGUGAAUACACCAGGGUUAUAUAUGACAAUGAUCUAACAACCAAUGGGAUGUGAGCUAUCCACCUUAACUUCUGUUCCUCGUUGGGUUGUGAGCUUAGGUCAUAUGCGCACAAUCGAUUGUUUGUUUACUCUGAGUCUUAUAUAACUUGUACCCACUUAGUACCCAUAAAAAGGGUUGUAGUGUCAUUUUACUUAACUUUCAUUCAAGUAGGAAAUAUAGGAUUUUCUAGAGGAACAGGCAAACUUUUCAAAACAGAACUUACAACUUACACCACUUUUACAUAUACAUUUUCAACAACAUUUUGCAGCUUACUCACAUCACUAAAAUCUUAUGAACUCACCAGCUUAAUUGCUGAUCAACUCUUUCAAAUAACUUGUAUUCUCAGGAGACUAUUAGACGGGUGCUCGUGCUGGGGAUUCAGAAGAUGAAGCAUUAUAGCUUCAAGUCUUGUUUUGUUAUAUGUGUAUGAAUUCUAUGUUUUGUUAACACACACAUUGUAAACACUUUCUUUCGAAAUGAAAUGGUUCUUAAUUACUUGCUUACCAUAUACAUAUCCCGUGAUACUAAACAUGACGUCCUCCACCCCUAAACGAUUCCGCCGUUCCGAUUUUGGGGUGUGACAGAUUGGUAUCAGAGCAUUGUUUAUAGUGAACUUAGUAUAUCAACCAAUAAAAAGAUAUAAAACUAUUAAUGCAAUGGGGCUUAAGUGCUCUGGAUAAUCAUAUAUUUUAGAGUAUAACCACAAGUUAUAAAAAUAUACCUACUUGCUCAUACAUGUACAUAAUAGAACUAGUGUCACAAGGAGAGCAGAACUAAAGUAUUUAAAGGUUGGGCAUUGUCGUCAAACUGAACAGUUACGUAAUCAUAGCUAGGAUCAAUAUAGCCGGAUCAACUAUAUUCAUUCGAGAUGUGACCGACAUGUGUUUGGGAAUGAUGUGGUGUUGCAAUAGAGUUAAAACUUACCUGAACACCAGUCAAGAGAACCCCAGAACAAGUACAUUCAGAGUUAGAAUACUAUAGGAGUAUUUUAGUUCAGAUAAAUAACUUAUGUGAGAAUUUAAAAGACCCUUACGGAUAAGUCUAUAAUCUUGCAAGGUAUAUUCCUAAAGUUUAAUAUACAAUCAGGAUCUUAUAGACAUAGAAUCUGUGGCCUACACUUCGCUAUCCAUUCCUCUUAAGGGUGUAGUGUUGGGGUGCGAUCACUUAUUCCAAGGUCUAUUUAAUCUUCAAUAAUAUACAAACUUGUGUACCUUGUACAAUUAUAGGAUGAUUCGGUAAGGAUCACCCCCAUAAAGUUACCUUAAAGCUCCUAAAUUCUAUAGUCACUUUCAUUCUCGCACGACAAGCCCAUAUAGAUAUAACCACUCCCUCAUAGUAGACAACAGAAGAGUCCAGGAGGAACAAGGACAAGUUCAUGAGAAGUUUUCAAGGAAAGAUCAGCCGAAGUAACCAAAACAUCUUACACGUCACACUAAUAAAUAUUAAUCAUGUUAAUUUAUUGAGCGAGUGGAAACACUGCUCACAUUAUAUAUUGAGAUUAUUUUCUUACAUGCAGCUGGUAACAGUUAUUCAAGAAACAGAUAUUCAUUCGAGGAUGGUUAUUUCAAAUUCAUAGAGUUUAUUAGGUAUAGACUCAUUUAUGAAUUGUUUCUAGAACUCAGUGGAAGUCGGGACCCGAUACAUCCAGAACUAGGAUAACCUUGUCUUUUCAGCUUUCGGCUUGUGUCCAUUGCUAUAGACUUAUUCCAUCUCAUCUUUGUUUUCAUUUAGCAAAGAUGCCUCCUCGCAGAUCACCCAAACACACUACUCUGAUAACUCCAACGCCACCUCCUUCCCAAAUAGAUAUGGCAACUAUAAAUACUGCAGUGGCCGCGGCUGUGGCAACAGCCAUGGCUUAAUAUCAUCCCAUUAGUACAGGUGGAGGUGAAACGCCUACUGAUUCUACUCAAGGUGAGGUCCAUGUGCACCCGGGAGAGUUCUCCUACAAGGAAUUCACCAGAUGCCAACCAUUGUCCUUUAAUGGGACUGACGGAGUCAUUGGCCUCAAGCAAUGGUUCAAGAAAACAGAGGCGAUCUUCGAAAUCUGUUUAUGCCUAGAAGGAAGCAAAGUGAAGUUUGCUGCCUGCACCUUCUCUGGCAAGGCCCUAAAAUGGUGGAACAGCCAUGUUAAUUCACUAACCCUAUCAGUGGCUAACUCAAUAGGUUGGGAAAACCAAAAAGAGUUAAUGCGGGAGGAAUACUGCCCGUUAGGCGAAAUUCAAAAACUGGAACAAGAACUGUGGGAUCUCACUAUGGUCGGCUCAGACAUAGUGAACUACACUAACCGGUUCAGCGAACUAGCAGCUCUAUGCCCCAAGAUGAUUACCUCGAAGAGCAAGAAAAUAGAAAGUUACAUCUAGGGACUGACUGCUCCGACCCAAGGGAAUGUGUUGUCUUCUAAACCAGCCACGUUCGAUAGUGCCAAACACAUGGCUCAGCGACUCAUCGACCAUGGAGUCUGCCAUGGUUUAAAAGUCCCUAUUCCCGAGCCAUCAAAGGAAAAGGACUAUAAUCAGAAGUCGGGGAACAAGAGAAAGAAGAAGCAAACAACACAGGACACCCCACAAGAGAAAUGAGCGAGUACUAUGUACGCCGCCACGACGCCUACUGCUUCAGCCCCUGCCAGUCGAUAUGUUGGAAACCUUCGGAAGUGUGGAAAGUGUAACUUUCACCACACUGGAGUAUGUCGGGAAAUGCAGUGUCUGAACUGCCACAGAAAGGGACACAAAAUACGUUACUGCAGGGCACCGGCUCAACCGAUCUCCUAAGUCCUCGAAGCUGAAGAGAACCCAGCCUACUAUGGUUGUGGUGAGACUGGACACCGUCAGAGGGACUGCCCAAUAGUAAGGAACUCAGGAGCAGAUGGACACAUUAUGAUGAUCACCGCAGUAGAAUCUACGCCGAAGUCAUCGACCACUAGUGGUACGUUUUCAAAACAGUAAUUACUUUUAAAAUUAAUUUAUAUUCAUAUAAGAUUAAAAUUUGGGGAUAACACUUAAAAGUAACUAUAACAACUCACAUGUUGAAAUAGGUCACAAUAUUCAAGAGAACUAAAAGAUCCCUUAGAGUAGCUAUUAUGGCUCACCAUAUACAUCAGGGUUGUGCGCAACUAAGAUGUUGCAGACUUAGGGGCUGUUUGUUUUUUGUGUGAAGAGCUGCGCAACCACUUUUGUCUGCGCCGCGCAGACAACGCACAGACAUAUGACCUCGCAGACUGUUUGUUUUUUAGAAGUGUGCAGACCAAAAAACGUCUGCGCGAGGUCUUCCUGGCGCAUACAUGGACCACUGUCUUCAAAGGUCUUCAGACCUCAUUUUAACCCAAAAAAAAAAAAAAAAAAAACACCCGUUUUUUUUGUUUCUUUUUUUGCUGAAAAUGCAUUUUUAAUCUUUAUGACAUGAAAUUAAGUUUGAAAAAUUAAUUUAUUUCAAUGGCUGCAGAUGUUAAAACAAACAGUCUUCUUAUUGCAGACUGCAGACAUUUGGUCCACCUCUUCUGCUGCAGAGGUUUGCAGAUGUGGUCCGCAGACUGCAGACAUUUUGGCUUCAAAAAAACAAACAACACCUUAGAGUGAGUGACUCCGCUUAGGUCCCCUUUCCUUAAUUGGUUGAGGAUUUGAGGCAAAGAUAACCAAUCGACUGCCUGGUUCACCUUAGAUGUUCAUAACUUGUAUAUGACGGGCGAUGAUAGUGGUACCGAGGAGGAUUAUGAUAUAAAGUAUCCCCACCAGUUGGUAGAAUACUAUUGUUCAUAUGCAUGCGCACAUAGCGGUACGAUACGUAGGAUUGUUAACUUUAAUUAGAAAACAAGAAACACGAGAACAAUUACAAAGAGUACAUUGUUGAACAUAGUAGGAGUACAGUAUCGAGCAUACCAGGGAUACAUCAUUGUUUAUCAGACAUUUCUUUUAUUUGACCAAAACUUAAUUCAGUAAAGAGUCUUUUGCUUUCAUUUGUCAUGAGUUGGUGCGGUCCUCACCAUACUGAGUUCAUAUGUUUCUAUCGCCUCGAUCAGCAAGUUCUCGAAACUUUCGCAUUCAUAUCGAACGUCCGACCUAAACCUAAACUUUAUCUUUCAUAUUCUAAACCCCUGAAGUACUCGUGCGAAGAGUACUUUGUCCUCCGAAGCCUUAUCGUCAGAUGUCCGCAGUCCGUCGAGAAAUACCACUCGUCCAGCAGACCAAGUUCGAGCACAAAGACUAUGGACGAAUGCAGCCCACAUAUUACGAUUUAGUGUAUACGCGAGGGUAGUAUAUGAUUAUGAUUACGCAGAGUUAGUAUGUGUGUUUCCACCCUAUCUCCUGUUCCUCCUUGGGUUGUGGACCUGGGGCAGAGUCGCACAUCUGACCGUCUAACUGACCCUAAUUAUAUACGACUUGUAUACACGAGGUAAUGAUAGAUGGACCAAGUAUGAAUCCUAUCAUGAACGGAAGGGCCAGGUUGCUAAGUCUACGAGUGAGUAUUCUGUCAAUCAGAAGAGAGCAACCCAUUAGUAAUGCUAAGAAUGCUAAUUUCGGGACGAAAUUCCUUCUAAUGGGGGGAUGUUGUGACAACCGGAAAUUUCUAUUCUAUACAAUCAUUCAAUUCAAUAAAAGUCAGAACAGUUUCUGCUAAGUUUCAAGCUUUUUGGAAUAAGUUUGAAUGUUUUAAAGUUAGUGCUUCAGAAGUUAAGAGGAGAAAGGAUGCCCUAGGGUUUAUUGUGUAUCAACAAAGUUCCAAAAACUCCAAGAGUUUGAAGUCUACGGUCCAAAUGGUAUUUGGACUGUAAACCCUAAUGACUAUAUAAGUGAGACUUAGUUAUUUUAUCACUUUUUCACCAUUUCAAGCUAGAACUCAAAUCCUCUCAAGUUGCAUCCGAAUUUUCCUUCUAGAUCUUCAACUUAUAAUUCUUUCUAGCCCUAAUAAGUUGACAUCUACCUUAAUCUAGUGAUCUAACACACUUCCAUCCGUGAAAUCAUUCCAAAAGUCUAGAUCUUCAAGUUUCACCAAGAACACACAUUAGUGUUCUUGGACUUUAAACACCUUUUCAAGCUUCUACCUAGUAAGUACUUCUAUCCUAGAGUAUUAUAUGACUUGUUACACUUCUAAACAUCAAGAAAACAUCCAAGAAAGUCAAGAUCAAAGGUGUUUACGGUCCAAAAUGUUCUUGGAUCGUAAACCCUAAAAAUGGUGCGUAAGUGUGCCCUAAUUCCUUAAAAGCCUUGGAAAUAAACCUAGAACCUUUCCUUGAUGUGCUUAGUGCUUGAAAACAUCAAAAUACCAUAAUCCAUAUGGGUUUACGUCCGUAAACACAUGGAGAAGUGGUCCAUGGGCCGUAAACUCCAUUUUGAAGUGAAAUGAUGCCAUAAACACUUCCCAAGGCUAAGACAUGAAGUAGGAAUGCUUCUUUAGGACAUAUAGGCUUCAAAACACAAAAUGGUGGAGGCACCAUGAGUUUACUGCCGUAAACUCAUGGGUUUACGACCAUAAACUCCAAUGGAGUUGGUCCCAAAACCGUAAACACCUUUUAGUGCCAUUUCACUUCCCUUUGAUGAAUCACGUGUGAUUCCAACACUUGAGCAAGGUGUUUCCUAGUCCCAGAAGGCGUUUCCUUUCAUAUAGUUGUGUAUAAACGCUAUAUUCAUGUCAAUAUGUGUCCUUAUAUGUCAUUUAGGACUUAUUGUAUCUCGGAACUUCAUUCAUGGAACUUCUCAUCCUUACACGCAUACCCGUUUGAAUCACCCACAUCAGGUGAGUUCAUACCCCGUAAUGAAUCUUUUAACUGUUUUAACUAUUUUAAGGGGGGGGGGGGGCAACAAGGNUCACAAUGAUAAUUGUUUAAUUGUUUGUUACAAACAUCUUUCAAAAUGUAACUUAUGUUAUUUAUAAGUUGUCAAAACAUUUCAAAACUCUUUUAAAGUUAUGUUACUUUAUAGUUAUACAAAACUCUAUUUUUAAGUUACAAGCAUAACUUACUAGGUAAACGAGUCUUUUCAAUAACAGUCCAAGUAGAACAUUAGUAAACUAUAAUAGGUAUAGUUUAGGAUAAUGCUACUCAUUACUUCCAGUACAAUGAAGCACACAAUGAUUCAAUACCAUAAUAGAACAUACAGUGAAGAGAAUCAAACAAUACCAUAUAGAACAUAACAAACAAGAUAAGUUGCAAUAGUGUGAGAACUCACACAGGAUCUAAUUAUACCAAUGAAUCACUAACUCAUUGUUUUAAACAAAAGGUGAUAGUUAUAUUAGGUAUACAUGAUCAUAUAACUUUAACGUGAAUUACAAGGCUUGCAAGAAUUUGCAGGGGUCGCGUUUGGUUCCCUUCACAUGAUGACCGUAAUAAAACAAAUAUGUUUUUAGAUUAUUAGUACAUCUGCAUGUCAUUAUAAACGACAUCUGUGUACUUACUUUUCCCAUUACUUUCAUAAAGUGAUAGUACCACUUGAAAGUCGAACUAUUUUCUAGUCAAGGUAGUUACCAACUAGGGAAAAUAUACUUUUACAAUCGACAAUCGGAUCAGUCGAGUCUAGCACAUAUCAGAAGAUGCCUUGGUAGAAGGCUACGAUUAAAAGUUAGGACCAUAAUGCUAGUCUUAUGAUUCCUUAAUGUAUACAUUAGCGGAUACAUAUAUACCAAUAGGUUCCGACAGCUAAUAGGAUGUGUGUUCUCCGCUUCAUUUCCUGUUCCUCGUUGGGUUGUGGGCUUGGAACGGAUUCACCCAAUCUAUUAUCUACUCGAUUCUGUAUACAUCUAUGCUUAGUAUACAUUAAUUCAUCAUAAGGGUACCAGGUAUGGUUUAGUACUUUGGGAAUACAAAACUAGGAACUACCCAGUAAAGGGUUUAAUCCAUUUGAUUAAGCCAGUACAAUUUUAAGGACC
RNAcentral lists this long non-coding RNA (8309 nucleotides) under Lactuca sativa (garden lettuce). RNAcentral's name for it is "long non-coding RNA (LSAT_LNC001584)". The record is from RNAcentral. Lineage: Eukaryota; Viridiplantae; Streptophyta; Magnoliopsida; Asterales; Asteraceae.